GGGGCCUUAAAGGUUUCGACGUGUUGGAGAAAUCCGAAGCGUGAUUCAGGCCGAGAGUGAGUCUCCUCUCGUAAAUCCAAGGCUCAAACCAAAAAGUAACUGCGAACAACAUCGUUCCUUUCGCUCGUAAGGCAGCUGCUGUUGCCUAAAAACCUCUAAAGGUUCGAGCACUCAUAGUCUGACUCCGUUAAGGGCUAUGGGUAAACCCCAACGGAUGCGCUAGUUCGUCGUCUCUGGUCGGCGCUCUAGCAAAGACUCUACCAGAGCAUCCCGCCAUCCGGGAUAAUGGAUGGUCCCCGCUCUGAGGGUAAAAAGAGCUAAGCCUGUGAACGAUCGUGAGGUCAAUACCCAAGGCGGACACGGGUUCGAUUCCCGUAGGCUCCAUUC
RNAcentral lists this transfer-messenger RNA (387 nucleotides) under Baaleninema simplex. Its description in RNAcentral is "Standard tmRNA". It matches the Rfam family "transfer-messenger RNA". Rfam says of the family: Bacterial tmRNA, also known as 10Sa RNA or SsrA, is named for its dual tRNA and mRNA-like properties. Lineage: Bacteria; Bacillati; Cyanobacteriota; Cyanophyceae; Oscillatoriales; Oscillatoriaceae. The record is from RNAcentral. RNAcentral also lists the same sequence under 1 other name.